This 245-nucleotide unclassified non-coding RNA is filed under the name Hevea brasiliensis (rubber tree). Lineage: Eukaryota; Viridiplantae; Streptophyta; Magnoliopsida; Malpighiales; Euphorbiaceae. The record is from RNAcentral.
GAAAAAGCAGAGCUCCGAUAACUGAUUCUACAUUAGGAAAUGCCCGUAGAGGUAGAGAAUUGAGGUAAGGUACUUCAAUGGCGAUUGUGUCUUCUCUGCCAGGUCUCAACCUCUUCUCUUCACUCCCAUCAAACCCACCACGAAACGACCCUACAGCAUCUACCUCUCCUCCCCAACCACCCAUACCCAUUCCCAAAUACCCUCCUCCUCUCAAAAAAUCCAAAAAUCCUCGAACUGCGCCUUCC